This 468-nucleotide ribosomal RNA is filed under the name uncultured bacterium. RNAcentral's name for it is "partial 16S ribosomal RNA". It matches the Rfam family "Bacterial small subunit ribosomal RNA", at positions 28 to 507 of the family's 1533-position model. The record is from RNAcentral.
GACGAACGCUGGCGGCGUGCUUAACACAUGCAAGUCGAACGGAAAGGCCCUGCUUUUGUGGGGUGCUCGCGUGGCGAACGGGUGAGUAACCCGUGAGUAACCUGCCCUUGACUUUGGGAUAACUUCAGGAAACUGGGGCUAAUACCGGAUAGGAGCUCCUGCUGCAUGGUGGGGGUUGGAAAGUUUCGGCGGUUGUGGAUGGACUCGCGGCUUAUCAGCUUGUUGGUGGGGUAGUGGCUUACCAAGGCUUUGACGGGUAGCCGGCCUGAGAGGGUGACCGGCCACAUUGGGACUGAGAUACGGCGCAGACUCCUACGGGAGGCAGCAGUGGGGAAUAUUGCACAAUGGGGGGAAGCCUGAUGCAGCAACGCCGCGUGCGGGAUGACGGCCUUCGGGUUGUAAACCGCUUUCGCCUGUGACGAAGCGUGAGUGACGGUAAUGGGUAAAGAAGCACCGGCUAACUACGUG